RNAcentral lists this ribosomal RNA (459 nucleotides) under uncultured bacterium. RNAcentral's name for it is "partial 16S ribosomal RNA". It matches the Rfam family "Bacterial small subunit ribosomal RNA", at positions 338 to 795 of the family's 1533-position model. The record is from RNAcentral.
CCUACGGGUGGCAGCAGUGAGGAAUAUUGGUCAAUGGGCGCGAGCCUGAACCAGCCAAGUCGCGUGAGGGAAGACGGUCCUAUGGAUUGUAAACCUCUUUUGUCGGGGAGCAAAAGAAGCCACGCGUGGCGUUCCGAGAGUACCCGAAGAAAAAGCAUCGGCUAACUCCGUGCCAGCAGCCGCGGUAAUACGGAGGAUGCGAGCGUUAUCCGGCUUUAUUGGGUUUAAAGGGUGCGCAGGCGGAAGAUCAAGUCAGCGGUAAAAUUGAGUGGCUCAACCCCGUCGAGCCGUUGAAACUGGUUGUCUUGAGUGGGUGAGAGGAAUGCGGAAUGCGAGGGGUAGCGGUGAAAUGCAUAGAUAUCGCGCAGAACUCCGAUUGCGAAGGCAGCAUACCGGCGCUCAACUGACGCUGAUGCACGAAAGUGUGGGUAUCGAACAGGAUUAGAUACCCCUGUAGUC